RNAcentral lists this long non-coding RNA (226 nucleotides) under Elaeis guineensis (African oil palm). RNAcentral's name for it is "long non-coding RNA (EGUI_LNC031378)". Lineage: Eukaryota; Viridiplantae; Streptophyta; Magnoliopsida; Arecales; Arecaceae. The record is from RNAcentral.
CUUCCUUCCUUCACUUGAGAAAAACUUGAAUGCACUGUAGGUUGGGUGGUUGAAAUGAAGUAAAGACUCUUUUUAAGCUCAUUUGAAGGAUUGCACAGAAUUUUUGAAUGUAUUUCUGAUUUUUCUCUCUUGUUACUUUAUUUUCUUGUAUUCCCUUGCUUUAAUGCACCCUUAGAAUCCUUCCAAUCUAAGUUAAGAAAACUAAAAAUGGGUUUGUAGCUAUUGG